Harpia harpyja (harpy eagle) is the source of this 1738-nucleotide non-coding RNA. The record is from the annotation of a RefSeq genome assembly. Lineage: Eukaryota; Metazoa; Chordata; Aves; Accipitriformes; Accipitridae.
AUGGGGGCGGGAUUUGACUGGGAUGGGGGCAGGACUCGACUGGGAUGGGGUGGAAUUCAACCGGGAUUGGAGUGGGAUUCAACUGGGAUUGGGGUGGGAUUCGAGUGGGAUGGGGGCGGGAUUACAACCGGGAAUGGGGGGAUUGCAGGGAUCCAGGGAGCAAAAAACACCCUUGGGAUUGGGAUCAGGAUCAAGGGGAUUAGGAUUGGGAUGGGGGGGAUUGGGAUCGGGAUUGGGGGGAUAGCAUGGAUCCGAGGAGCAAAACACUCCAUUGGGAUCGGGAUCGGGGGGAUUGGGAUCAGGGGGGUUGGGAUCGGGAGGAUUGGGAUUGGGAUUGGGGUUUGGGAUUGGGAUGGGGGGGUAUCAUGGAUCCGGGGAGCAAAGCACUCCAUUGGGAUCAAGGCCCACGCUCCCGUCGUCUACCCGUUGAUCCAGUGCACCGAUUGCGAGGAUACGGUUAGCUUCGGCUGUUUGGUCACCGACUACUUCCCCCAACCCGUCACCGUCACGUGGAUUUCCAACGUCAAAGGAGACAACGAGACUUUCCCGGUCGUCCAGAGCGGCAACAGUUACUACAGUCUCAGCACCCAACUCACCGUCCCGGUGAGCAGCUUGGAAGGCAACAACUUCCAGUGCAAGGUGGACCACAGCGGCACCACAACCACCGUCACCGAGACCAUCAAGGGUGACAAACUAUGUCCCGACCCGUCCCCGCCGGUGAUAAAACUUCUGGGCGACCCAAAUCAGAGCGACCCUCAGAAAAGGGUCCUACUCAUGUGCCUCAUCGAGGGACCCAAGGCUUCCAGUAGCAACGUGCAGUGGCUGAUGAACCAAGAAGUGAUGGACGUGCAGCAGGAGGACUACGGCUGUGACAAUUGCUCCCCAGAGAAGGCCACAUUUACGAGCAAAGUCAACGUCAGCCGGCAGAGCUGGGACCUGGGGGCUGAGUUCUCUUGCAAAGUGACCCACCCCACGCUGAAAGCACCCGCCGUCCUCAACAUCAGCACGUUCUGCUCAGAUCCCAAACCGAAGGUGGAGGUCACCAUCCUCCCCCCAUCCUUGGAGGACCUCUACCUCAGCCAGAACGCCAGCAUCACCUGCGUGGCCACCAACCUGAAGUCUUACGAAGACGUAAAGUUCUCCUGGAGCCGAGACCAGGGCAGCGCCUUGGAUGUGACCUCGGGGGCAGCAGAGAAGCUGGAGAACGGUCUCUACCGCCUCACCAGCACCCUGAAGAUCUGCGCCGAUGAGUGGAACUCCGGGGAGAAGUUCACCUGCACCGUCAAAAUCCCCGAGAUCGAAGAACCCAUCAUCAGGUCCAUUAAGAAAGACAUAGACGUCUCCGUGAAGCCACCCUCCGUCUACGUCUUCCCCCCACCGGCCGAGGAGUUGGCCCGUCAGGAAACGGCCACCUUGACCUGUCUGGCCUUGGGUUUCCGCCCCCGUGACAUCCUGGUGACCUGGACCCAAGAGGACCGUCCCGUGUCCCCCGGCAGCUUCUCCAUCUUUGGUCCUCAGAAGGAAGGAGACACCUACACGGUCUACAGCAAGUUGAGCGUGCCGGCAGCCGACUGGCAACGGGGCGACUCUUUCGCCUGCGUGGUCGGCCACGACGGCAUCCCCCUGCAUUUCGUGCAGAAGACCAUGGACAAGGCCAUCGGUAAACCCACCUCCGUCAACGUUUCGGUGGUCCUCGCCGACGCCGACGUCACCUGCUACUGAGCUUGGCGGAGGCGGG